This 735-nucleotide ribosomal RNA is filed under the name Borreliella burgdorferi (Lyme disease spirochete). RNAcentral describes it as "bacterial SSU rRNA". It matches the Rfam family "Bacterial small subunit ribosomal RNA", at positions 44 to 772 of the family's 1533-position model. Lineage: Bacteria; Pseudomonadati; Spirochaetota; Spirochaetia; Spirochaetales; Borreliaceae. The record is from RNAcentral.
GCGUCUUAAGCAUGCAAGUCAAACGGGAUGUAGCAAUACAUUCAGUGGCGAACGGGUGAGUAACGCGUGGAUGAUCUACCUAUGAGAUGGGGAUAACUAUUAGAAAUAGUAGCUAAUACCGAAUAAGGUCAGUUAAUUUGUUAAUUGAUGAAAGGAAGCCUUUAAAGCUUCGCUUGUAGAUGAGUCUGCGUCUUAUUAGCUAGUUGGUAGGGUAAAUGCCUACCAAGGCAAUGAUAAGUAACCGGCCUGAGAGGGUGAACGGUCACACUGGAACUGAGAUACGGUCCAGACUCCUACGGGAGGCAGCAGCUAAGAAUCUUCCGCAAUGGGCGAAAGCCUGACGGAGCGACACUGCGUGAAUGAAGAAGGUCGAAAGAUUGUAAAAUUCUUUUAUAAAUGAGGAAUAAGCUUUGUAGGAAAUGACAAAGUGAUGACGUUAAUUUAUGAAUAAGCCCCGGCUAAUUACGUGCCAGCAGCCGCGGUAAUACGUAAGGGGCGAGCGUUGUUCGGGAUUAUUGGGCGUAAAGGGUGAGUAGGCGGAUAUAUAAGUCUAUGCAUAAAAUACCACAGCUCAACUGUGGACCUAUGUUGGAAACUAUAUGUCUAGAGUCUGAUAGAGGAAGUUAGAAUUUCUGGUGUAAGGGUGGAAUCUGUUGAUAUCAGAAAGAAUACCGGAGGCGAAGGCGAACUUCUGGGUCAAGACUGACGCUGAGUCACGAAAGCGUAGGGAGCAAA